Vicia faba (fava bean) is the source of this 195-nucleotide non-coding RNA. NCBI's taxonomy places the organism in Eukaryota, Viridiplantae, Streptophyta, Magnoliopsida, Fabales, Fabaceae. The record is from the annotation of a GenBank genome assembly.
AUGCAGGGCUGUUAUGACAUUAUUUUUGGGAUGAUAUGUUCAGGAUUUUACAGGUUUAUAGAGCAGUAUUGCAGGCUGUUUUUGACAUGGUUUUGGGCUAGUAGUAGCAGAACAGACAACAUACAUUAUUUUUGGUCUGUUUUGCAGCAGGUUGAUGCAGGGCAAUAUGUUUUAUUGUGUUAUGGAUUGGUGUAG